Molecule: ribosomal RNA, 539 nt
Filed under: uncultured bacterium
Lineage: Bacteria
Description: bacterial SSU rRNA
Rfam family: Bacterial small subunit ribosomal RNA
Source: RNAcentral
UGGGCCCGAGUUUGAUCCUGGCUCAGGACGAACGCUGGCGGCAUGCCUAAUACAUGCAAGUCGAGCGAAUGACGAAGAAGCUUGCUUCUUCUGAUUUAGCGGCGGACGGGUGAGUAACACGUGGGCAACCUGCCCUGUAGAUUGGGAUAACUCCGGGAAACCGGGGCUAAUACCGAAUAAUCCAUUUCCUCACAUGGGGAGAUGUUAAAAGACGGCAUCUCGCUGUCACUACAGGAUGGGCCCGCGGCGCAUUAGCUAGUUGGUGAGGUAACGGCUCACCAAGGCGACGAUGCGUAGCCGACCUGAGAGGGUGAUCGGCCACACUGGGACUGAGACACGGCCCAGACUCCUACGGGAGGCAGCAGUAGGGAAUCUUCCACAAUGGACGAAAGUCUGAUGGAGCAAUGCCGCGUGAGUGAAGAAGGUUUUCGGAUCGUAAAACUCUGUUGUGAGGGAAGAACAAGUAUGAGAGUAACUGCUCGUACCUUGACGGUACCUCAUUAGAAAGCCACGGCUAACUACGUGCCAGCAGCCGCGGU